Dreissena polymorpha is the source of this 4918-nucleotide long non-coding RNA. RefSeq lists it as uncharacterized. The transcript is spliced from 3 exons. NCBI's taxonomy places the organism in Eukaryota, Metazoa, Mollusca, Bivalvia, Myida, Dreissenidae. The record is from RefSeq and is a predicted model, not a curated record.
UAUAGGGAUAUCGAAAGUAAAACACAGAUUUCACAAAAUGGCUGCGAAGUUGACAACAUCGCAAAAUAAAGGAUGUGAUCAAUUUUACGACGUAUGUUGUUCUGUCUGCGAGGAUGAUGGCAUAAAUAAGGAAGGGCUGUUUCACUGUCAGAAAUGCUUAAAAACAUACUGCAAUGAAUGUGUUUUAAUGCACAACAAAGUACUGAAAAAUCAUUCAGUAACAACAACAGGUGAUGAUGACAACUGGCCUGUUACCAAAACUGUGGAUACUACUCUGGGGCUUUGUGAGGAGCAUGCUUCUGAGAAACUGACGAUGUUCUGUGAAGAUCAUGAGAAGCUGCUUUGGCAAGUCUGCCAUCUUCGAAAUCAUAAGCAAUGCGGCCAUGUUGUUCUAUGAGCUGAAAAAUGCAAUUCAUCAACUAAACCUAUUAACGUCGCUGAAAUCGAAACAAAAAUUGAACAAUUUCAGAAACUCUUAGUGGAAGCAGUAAAAAAAGUAAACAGAAUAUAAAGUCUAUACAAACAUCAUAUGAAAUUAUUCUAUAAGACAUACUUGAUUUUCGUCGACGAAUCAAUGACAGUUUAGACCGUCUACAACAAAAUACAAUACAUGAAUUGAAUUAAUUGCACUCCAGUAUGAAUAAUUCUUUGGAGGAUGAAUGCAAACAAUGUGAGACAUUCAUUUCAAAGAUUAAAGUGCAUGAUUCUUAAAGCAUUAAAUCGCCUGAGAGAUAUUUCAUUUUGCAUAGGAAAUAUCUGGACCAAACCGCUUCGGCAGAGCUAUUUCUUCGAAAAGUUACCACGAAUGCUGCCAUUGAAUUUCAGCAUAACACGGACUUGGAGAAGUGUCUUGCUGCUUGCACAGAUCUUGGGAACAUCACCAGUCGCGUUGGUUUUGUGUCACAUCAACAUGUUGAUCCCAACAAGGUCAUUAAAGUGCAAGGAAACUCAGAAUUCAAAGACAGAACAAAUACUGAUAAGAAUACAUGCAACAUAACCGGUAUAUGUGAGAUGUCAAACGGGUAUUUCGUCAUUUCUGAUUUAGACAAUCGAUGUGCAAAACUCCUCGAUCAAGCGUAUACCAUAAUUGGGCAAGUCGAGCUAACUACGUAUCCGUGGUCUAUUUGUAACAUUUCCCCCAAUGAAGGCGCGGUUACUAUAAGCGACUAUAAUUAUCUUAAAGAGAUUCAUUUCAUACGAGUGGACACUGAAACAGUUUUAACAAUAAAACAUACAACUGAACCAUUCGUGUUACGAAAUAGCGCAUCACAUAGGAGACAGGUUUGUAAUUAAUUUCUGGCACUGCUUUGCUCCAGUAUACAACAGAUGGACGAUUAGUGAAGAAGUUGUACGAAGAUAAGUCUUCACAAUUCUCAGGAGUUGCAGUAAGCCAUGACGGGAAGAGGAUCUAUCGAACCGAAAAUGGACGGCUUGUCACUCUGACCAGGGAUGGAACAGUCACACGAACCGAAAAUGGACGGCUUGUCACUCUGACCAGGGAUGGAACAGUCACAGCAACGAUCAAGGAUCCUACAUUUAAACAUUCAAUGAUAACAUGUAGUAUACACAUGGCAACAACAGGACAGGUGUUUGUGUUUGGUAAUAAAUCUGUAAGUCAAGUAGACACAGGCGACAAGACAAUCCUCGAUACGGUUGAUGUUGAUGGCUGUCCUUCAUCAAUCUACUUUAAUGUAGACAACGGCAAGUUACUUGUUGGAAUUCAUGAUAACGACAGCAUGACGGAGUUUAAAACAAUGACUUAAUGACUUAUUGAGUUACAUAUCAAAUUGUAUUGAAUAGAGUGAUCUAUGGUACGUUUGUUAUCACUUGAAUAUAAAUAAGUGCUUUUGAUUGAACAUAUGUACAUGUUACUAUCCAAUGGUGUGUGUGUUAUCCAAGUGUACAGCUUUGGCGUCAGCAAACAAUGUCAUAUAUCGUGUACGCCAUUCACGAUUACCUCGUGUAUACUAUUUAAAUAUCCGUAAAAGUCGAACCAAAAUCGAAAUAAAUUGCAAGAACACGUUUUUAUGAAGCUUUACAGUUGCACAUAUGUAAACGCUUUCCUAAACAAUUUACACAUUGUUUGUAGGUAGAUGCAUUGUGUUUUUGCUUUGGGAAUUUACAGUGAAUGCAUGUAAAAAAUUACUCGUUUGAAAAUAUCUAAAUUAUAACUGAUUUCGUUUUAAACUUAUUCUGCUAAAAUUCAACCACGAUAUUUUUAUUCUAUUCUUUUGAAAAAAAGAAAUAAGAGCUUAAUAUUUUGACAUUAUUUCCGGAAAUUGACAUUGCUUAGUAAAUAUAACGUGCCCCGGAAAUUCCAUGACAUUGCUUGGUAAAAAAUAAAGUGCUUUGGAAAUUCCAAGAUAUUGCUUAGUAAAAAUAACGUGCUUCGAGAAUUCCAAGACAUUGCUUAGUAAAUAUAACUUGCUUCACCGCAAAUUUGACAAACCAACAAUAUUGGCAUUGCACAACGCAGUAAAACAUAUUAUUAAUACAAACUUUUUGUUAGGUGAAGCGAAAUGUGAACGUUUAAAGUAUAAUAUACAUAUUAUGCAUUUGUUAAUAUACUAUCAUUACAGUAUUUAACAUAUGACGUCAUGUCGAUUUACCAAUCUUUUUUUAUGAAUGUAGUCGUCACCAUUUUGAAUUGUUUUGCUAUGUUGAUGCCACGAAAACGCAUGUGUUUAUGUUUUCAUGGAAAAAGGCAGACUUAAGAUUUUAAAACAUUGUACUAUUAUACGAACGAUUUAUAUUUAACUUAUUUGCAGAUGCAAAAUAAUCAAUGACUAAGCGUUGGUUAUUGUGGUAAUUACAAACGGUUGGUAAUCAAACCGUUUGGACUAUCGCAUUCAUGUUUUAUUCUUAUGCAUUAUUGUGCAUCAGAUCUCCAAACCGUAUGUUAUUACCGCAAUAACCAGCACUGAGUAGGAAAUUAUUACUUAUUUCAAUGUUCCUUAUGUAAUGUUUCUAAUUGUUAACAGAUUAUUCGCGUGAGUAUUUAAACUACGCCAAUGUUCAUAUCGGUUGUUCUUUUUUACUUGUCGAUUGUUAGAGUGUAUUUAACUUCUUGAUUUUUAUAGUGUUUUUAACUUUUUGAUUGUUAGAGUGUGUUUUACUUUUUGAUUGUUAGAGUGUGUUUUACUUUUUGAUUAGAGUGUGUAUUAUGUGUUUAUUGUUAGAGUGUGAUUACCUUGUUGAUUGCAAGAAUGUGUUUAACUUGUUGAUUGUAAGAGAGUGUUUAACGUGUUGAUUGUUAGAGUUUGUUUAACUUGUUGAUAGUAAGAGUGUUUUUAAAUUGGUUAUUGUUAGAAUUAGUUUAACUUGUAAAUUGAGUGUGUUUAAGUGUUGAUUAAAGUUUGUUUGACUUGUUGAUUGUAAGAGUGUGUUUAACUUGUUGAUUGUAAGAGUGUUUUUAAUUUCUCGAUUGUUAGAGUGUGUUUAUGUGUUGAUUAGAGAGUGGUUAACUUGUUGAUUGUUAGAGUGUAAAUAAUUUGUAUGUUUUGAGAGUGUGUUUAUCUUGUUGAUUUUAAGAAUGUGUUUAACUUGUUGAUUGUUAGAUUGUUUUUAAGCUUAAGUGUAUGUAUACAAAAUUGUGAAAUGUGAAUAAAUGUUACUUACUUCUUUGUUCCCACAAGGAAAUCAAAGAUAUGGUCUUUUCAAACGCAUAAUCUUUAAAAUCACAAAAUGUGCACAUUUAAGCUGUAUUUAAAGUGCCUGUUUUCGUCACACAAAUUCUGAUUGUUAUUUAAAGUAUUUGAUAUUUUUUGAGUAUCUACACGAACAUGUGAUCGAUGAAUAUAUAUGUUCUGUCUUAAGGACAUUUUAGUUUAGUCUUUUCUUCGACAAUUAAUCCUAAAUAAUGUGAAAAAAGCAGAUAAACAAUAUAAAAAUAGCUGUUCUUUUUUUCUCCAUGAGUAACAAAGUGUGUGUAAUCAUUAAUCGAAUAAGAAGCCAAGCAAGUCGUUAUGGCUAAUACAUGUUAUGUUCCAUUCUGCAUAUAGAUGUUCAUCCAUAUUCAUUGACUUUACCUACAAGUGGUAUGUGAUAGGUAUAUGAUGUAUCGGGUACAAUUCUUUUCGCUGUUAUGUGAAAUAUCCUUAUCCAAAUGUAAUAUCAAACGUAAUAUAUUUCGUUACCGCCAUGCAACGUUUCAAUUCAUGGAAGGACUUGAAUCUUCUUUCUGUUAAUUUUCCUCCUUUACCAUUAUUGUGUGACGUCCUUUUACCAUAUGCCACGGUGACAAUGAUGUGUUAUCUUGUUCAGUUAAUAAAGGGACUUAUUAAUAAAUUGUCCAAAUGAUUUUUUUUAAACAAUUGCAGUAGAUAAAAAAUCUAUGAUUUACUUUCAAACGAUCCGAAUACCAUUCAUGACUUGGAUCCUUUAUAAAUAAUCGACGGUUUUAUACUAUAAAGCCUUUGUAACGUGCGUUUUGAUGAUUUUGAAAAUACCUGUACUUAUACCGUUUAAAAUACGCUAUAAUAAACGAAUUUGUGGUUAGGGGGUAGAGAGUUAGUUUUUGCUUCAAGAGGUUACGGGUUUGACAGAGAAGACAAUAUGUGUAAUUCAACUUUUUAUGGCUAAUAUUAUUAUUUUAUAUAAUUUCUAAUAGUAUAGUUUUGUAAAUAAAAAAAGUCAUUGAAUCUUUAACAAGAUAAGAACAACGACGCCAAUCAGUUUGAUCAUCGCUUCCAUGACAAGAAUUGAUACUGGGGCAUGGUAACAUUCUGUGACAAAUCUUGUUUCAUAACAGCAUCGUAAUUACGUCACACCAAAUAUAAUUUGUAUUGAUUUAAUGAAUAUAUUAUCUUGUUUUGAACUUCGGAUCAUUCGAUUUUUAUCAACUUUACUGUUAUAAGUGUAAUUUCAUAUAUGUCUAUGUGUUUUUCUUUUAAAUGAGUUAUUUUAAGUUAAAUGUUGA